AAUUAUACCUUUAGGUAGUCAUUAAACCAACAUGCGUUGGCGGUCUUUACUUUUUAGAGAAACUCGCUUUAUAAUCGUAAACACCCGCUAAUUUUAACUUAAUUUAACUAGCCUAUAUACCGCCGUUAUUUAGAAUUUAACUAAAUUUAAAACCCUAAAUAUUUUAUACCUAUAAAAAAUCAGGUCAAGGUGUAGCUAAUAAUUAAGAAAAAGUAAGUUACAAUAAAAACAAUUUAAGGAACGCAAACAAAAGUAAACGCGAAAGAGAAUUUAUAAGUACACAUUAAUUAAAAAUUAAAGUCGAACUCCCCCAUAAAGAUGC
Molecule: ribosomal RNA, 322 nt
Filed under: Pholcus ceylonicus
Lineage: Eukaryota; Metazoa; Arthropoda; Arachnida; Araneae; Pholcidae
Description: partial 12S ribosomal RNA
Source: RNAcentral